GGCCUUCCAAUCGGCGCAGGAAAGGCUUAUAUCAGAAGCGUCGGGCAACCGACUAUAACGUUACAGGGCUUUUUGGAAUAAGCGUCGCGGACCCGGGGGCGGUACCCGGCGCCUCCACCAAUUUUCUGCGCCAGACGAUUACGGCGGCGUAGUGUGGGGGCGAAAUAGGAUCGACGCGCGUGGUAAAGAUCUAGUCUACGUUCGGCAUGGCACCAUCGUUAUCGGGCCAAAUUCGCUAAUUGCGAACGAUAACUUCACGGGCGAAGCCCGUCUCGCUGCUUAAUUAAUUAAGCAAGCGCGGCCUGGGGGGUGCCGGGCAACAGAAACCCCCCGCU
This 335-nucleotide transfer-messenger RNA is filed under the name Alphaproteobacteria bacterium. It matches the Rfam family "Alphaproteobacteria transfer-messenger RNA". From Rfam's summary of the family: Bacterial tmRNA, also known as 10Sa RNA or SsrA, is named for its dual tRNA and mRNA-like properties. Its role is to liberate the mRNA from a stalled ribosome. The record is from RNAcentral. Lineage: Bacteria; Pseudomonadati; Pseudomonadota; Alphaproteobacteria.